This 429-nucleotide ribosomal RNA is filed under the name Gemmatimonadota bacterium. Its description in RNAcentral is "Gemmatimonadetes bacterium partial 16S ribosomal RNA". It matches the Rfam family "Bacterial small subunit ribosomal RNA", at positions 355 to 776 of the family's 1533-position model. Lineage: Bacteria; Pseudomonadati; Gemmatimonadota. The record is from RNAcentral.
UAGGGAAUCUUCGGCAAUGGACGAAAGUCUGACCGAGCAACGCCGCGUGAGUGAAGAAGGUUUUCGUAUCGUAAAACUCUGUUGUUAGAGAAGAACAAGGACGUUAGUAACUGAACGUCCCCUGACGGUAUCUAACCAGAAAGCCACGGCUAACUACGUGCCAGCAGCCGCGGUAAUACGUAGGUGGCAAGCGUUGUCCGGAUUUAUUGGGCGUAACGCGAGCGCAGGCGGUUUCUUAAGUCUGAUGUGAAAGCCCCCGGCUCAACCGGGGAGGGUCAUUGGAAACUGGGAGACUUGAGUGCAGAAGAGGAGAGUGGAAUUCCAUGUGUAGCGGUGAAAUGCGUAGAUAUAUGGAGGAACACCAGUGGCGAAGGCGGCUCUCUGGUCUGUAACUGACGCUGAGGCUCGAAAGCGUGGGGAGCAAACAGG